RNAcentral lists this ribosomal RNA (491 nucleotides) under uncultured bacterium. RNAcentral's name for it is "partial 16S ribosomal RNA". It matches the Rfam family "Bacterial small subunit ribosomal RNA", at positions 29 to 507 of the family's 1533-position model. The record is from RNAcentral.
AGUGAACGCUGGCGGUAGGCCUAACACAUGCAAGUCGAACGGCAGCACAGUAAGAGCUUGCUCUUACGGGUGGCGAGUGGCGGACGGGUGAGGAAUACAUCGGAAUCUACUUUUUCGUGGGGGAUAACGUAGGGAAACUUACGCUAAUACCGCAUACGACCUACGGGUGAAAGCAGGGAUCUUCGGACCUUGCGCGAUUGAAUGAGCCGAUGCCGGAUUAGCUAGUUGGCGGGGUAAAGGCCCACCAAGGCGACGAUCCGUAGCUGGUCUGAGAGGAUGAUCAGCCACACUGGAACUGAGACACGGUCCAGACUCCUACGGGAGGCAGCAGUGGGGAAUAUUGGACAAUGGGCGCAAGCCUGAUCCAGCCAUACCGCGUGGGUGAAGAAGGCCUUCGGGUUGUAAAGCCCUUUUGUUGGGAAAGAAAAGCAGCAGGUUAAUACCCCGCUGUUCUGACGGUACCCAAAGAAUAAGCACCGGCUAACUUCGUG